Gregarina niphandrodes is the source of this 71-nucleotide transfer RNA. It matches the Rfam family "tRNA". From Rfam's summary of the family: Transfer RNA (tRNA) molecules are approximately 80 nucleotides in length. Their secondary structure includes four short double-helical elements and three loops (D, anti-codon, and T loops). NCBI's taxonomy places the organism in Eukaryota, Apicomplexa, Conoidasida, Eugregarinorida, Gregarinidae. The record is from Rfam.
GCGUUUGUGGUUUAGCGGUAGAAUGUCUCGUCGGCAUCGAGGGGACCCGGGUAUGAUUCCCCGCAGACCCA